This 404-nucleotide ribosomal RNA is filed under the name uncultured bacterium. RNAcentral's name for it is "bacterial SSU rRNA". It matches the Rfam family "Bacterial small subunit ribosomal RNA", at positions 335 to 730 of the family's 1533-position model. The record is from RNAcentral.
ACUCCUACGGGAGGCAGCAGUGGGGAAUAUUGCACAAUGGGCGCAAGCCUGAUGCAGCCAUGCCGCGUGUGUGAAGAAGGCCUUCGGGUUGUAAAGCACUUUCAGUUGUGAGGAAGGUGGUGUCGUUAAUAGCGGCAUCAUUUGACGUUAGCAACAGAAGAAGCACCGGCUAACUCCGUGCCAGCAGCCGCGGUAAUACGGAGGGUGCGAGCGUUAAUCGGAAUUACUGGGCGUAAAGCGCAUGCAGGUGGUUUGUUAAGUCAGAUGUGAAAGCCCGGGGCUCAACCUCGGAACUGCAUUUGAAACUGGCAGACUAGAGUACUGUAGAGGGGGGUAGAAUUUCAGGUGUAGCGGUGAAAUGCGUAGAGAUCUGAAGGAAUACCGGUGGCGAAGGCGGACCCCCU